Molecule: long non-coding RNA, 1001 nt
Filed under: Homo sapiens (human)
Lineage: Eukaryota; Metazoa; Chordata; Mammalia; Primates; Hominidae
Description: non-protein coding lnc-NR1I2-1:14
Source: RNAcentral
GGGGGUCAGAGGAGCCCGUGGUAGCUUUGGAUCUUUUGGAACUAGGGUGAUCUAUAAAAGUGCAGCUUGAGAAGAUUUCAUACAUAAGACCAGCGUCCAUUGUUCUACCAUAGAACCAGUUCCUUUGGUCUGCUUUAGAACAGUGAGGUAUGGCUACGUCAAGAUAACAGAGAAAGUAGAACAGACAGUUGCCAUCCUGAUUGUAAUCCAGUGGUGCCUGUAAUUUCUACCUGCAGAGUCAUCUCUUUCUGUUAAGAUGCUGUCUCCAGAAAGCACAUGUUAAAGGACCUAUAUUUGAUCAGAUUACCUGGCUCUUGCUUUGAAACACUGAUGAAGGACUUGGGACAGAACAAAGUGAGUGGAGGACACUUCAAUCUAAAGUGAUCUUAAAGGAGGAGUAGUAGGAUUUGAAGAUGAAGAAAGAAGAGGGGAGGUAAAUUACUUUCCAUCACUUCAAUUUCAACCCAUCAGAUAAAACCUCUCUUUAGUAAACCUGCAUGUGGGUGGAGCUGUAACAGCAAUUAAGGACAGUGUGACUCUGUUCUUCUGACUUUGGGAAAACCAGUUUGGCUGGAACAAAAAGCUGAUAGAGAAGACUAAUGGAAGAUAAGGUUGAAAAGGUUAAAAAAUGGAGGCAACAGCUGGGUACAGUGGCUCACUCCUGUAAUUCCAGCACUUUAGGAGGCCAAGGUAGGCAGAUCACUUGAGAAAAAGAGUUCGAGACCAGCCUGGGCAACAUAGUGAGACCCUCUCUCUCAAAAAAAAUAGCCAAGUGUGAUGAUGGACACCUGUAACCCCAACUACUUCAGAGACUGAGGCAGGAGGAUCACUUGAGCCUAGGAGGUCAAGGCUGCAGUGAGCUGUGAUUGGGCCACUGCACUCCAGCCUGGGUGACACAGAGAGACCUCUCUAAAAAAUAAAAAAAUAAAAAAAAUGGAAGCACAGAAAACUAUACCUUUUCUAGCUCAACUUUACCACAUUGAUGAAAAAGUAUUGAGCAG